RNAcentral lists this transfer RNA (69 nucleotides) under Ovis aries (sheep). It matches the Rfam family "tRNA". From Rfam's summary of the family: Transfer RNA (tRNA) molecules are approximately 80 nucleotides in length. Their secondary structure includes four short double-helical elements and three loops (D, anti-codon, and T loops). Lineage: Eukaryota; Metazoa; Chordata; Mammalia; Artiodactyla; Bovidae. The record is from Rfam by way of RNAcentral.
CCUGGUGGCUCAGAGGUUAAAGCGCCUGCCUCCAAUGCAGGAGACCCAGGUUCGAUUCUUAGGUCAGGA